CUGGCGGCGUAGCUUAACACAUGCAAGUCGAGCGGAGAUAUGAAAUUGGAGAGCUCGGCAGGAAGAUUCAUAUUUAGCGGCGGACGGGUGAGUAACGUGUGGGCAACCUGCCCUGUACUGUGGAAUAAUCACUGGAAACGGUGACUAAUACCGCAUGUCAUUGCGAGAGGGCAUCCUCUUGCAAGAAAAGGAUUUAUUCGGUACAGGAUGGGCCCGCAUCUGAUUAGCUAGUUGGUGAGAUAACAGCCCACCAAGGCAACGAUCAGUAGCCGACCUGAGAGGGUGAUCGGCCACAUUGGGACUGAGACACGGCCCAAACUCCUACGGGAGGCAGCAGUGGGGAAUAUUGCACAAUGGGCGAAAGCCCUGAUGCAGCAACGCCGCGUGAAGGAAGAAGGGUUUCGGCUCGUAAACUUCUAUCAACAGGGACGAAAAAAUGACGGUACCUGAAUAAGAAGCCCCGGCUAACUACGUGCCAGCCGCCGC
RNAcentral lists this ribosomal RNA (486 nucleotides) under uncultured bacterium. Its description in RNAcentral is "bacterial SSU rRNA". It matches the Rfam family "Bacterial small subunit ribosomal RNA", at positions 36 to 518 of the family's 1533-position model. The record is from RNAcentral.